CCUAGACUAGCCAUGCAUGCCUCGAUAGAAGAGCAAUAUCUCUCCGAAUCUGCGUACGGCUCCGCACACCAGUUGUAACACAAUGGCAAGCCGGUUUUCGAGAUCGCCGCAAGGUGUUUCUUGGGGACCACAAGGCUAUCCCUGGCAAUUCUGAGGCUAAUACAAGAACAUACCACCUUUGGCUGACCGGCAACGGGACGCUGGGGUGCGUGUAAGACCUCGCUAAGUUGCUAUGAGAAGCUGCACGCUCUGACCACUGCAAAAAACGGGCUCGCUUGUGAACCUUCGGGGGAUCGGGCUUGCUUGAGUGGCUCUUGCAAUGUGCUUCUGACCUAUCAACUAGAUGGCAGCGUAAGGGACAUGCUAUGGUGACAACGGGUACAGAGGAUAAGGGUUCGAUCCUGGAGAGUGGGCCUGAGAGAUUGCUCACACUUCUAAGGAAGGCAGCAGGCGCGCAACGUUCCCAUUGGACUCCGUCCGAGGGCGUUAGGGGAAAUAUGAAUGUCUGCCUUAUGGUGGACAAUUCAAAUGGGACUGUUCUAAACAGCCCAUCGAGUAACAAUUAGAGGACAAGUCUGGUGCCAGCACCCGCGGUAAUUCCAGCUCUAAUAGCAUACGUUAAAGUUGUUGCAGUUAAAACGCUCGUAGUCGGCACGAGACCUUCAGAUGCUUCGGAUCGUGAUCCUGUUUGCUGCUUUCUCAAGCGUGCAUCGGAGGAUCGAACUGGAGUUUGACGUCGGUCGCAUGUGCCUAGGGCCACUCUCCGGAGUAAAAGGUACCUGGCUUCGGCUGGGAACCCGGUCCGCGCGCCAUUUACCAUGAUUAAACUGGGGUGAUCGAAGCAUGACGCUGACGUCGCGUACAGGAUAGCAUGGUAUAAGCUCGACUGGCUUGGAGUUGCGAACCAGGCUAGUAAUCGCGAAGAGGAUGUUCGAGGGUGACCGAAUUGCCGGGCGAGCGGUGAAAUGCGUUGACCCUGGCAAGUCGACCAAAGGCGAAAGCAGUCAUCAAGGGCAUACCUGUCGAUCAAGAGCGAAAGUCAAGGGCUCGAAGACGAUCAGAUACCGUCGUAGUCUUGACUAUAAACGAUACAGACCAGGGAUAGGACUCUGUCCAUCCCGACUUCUCCUGAAUCUUGAAGAAAUUACCAGUCUUUGGGUCCGGGGGAGUAUU
Molecule: ribosomal RNA, 1173 nt
Filed under: Physarella oblonga
Lineage: Eukaryota; Evosea; Eumycetozoa; Physariida; Physaraceae
Description: bacterial SSU rRNA
Rfam family: Eukaryotic small subunit ribosomal RNA
Source: RNAcentral